AGAGAAGGGUGUCCCAGAUGUAGGCAAAGCGUCCUCCAUGUGUUCCUGGAGGACCGUCCCAAGUCCUUCUCCAUUCUCCCAACCUCUUGGGCCUGGAAGUCAGACAAGUACCGGUGAUUGCCGGUUUCUUGUCUGAUUUUUGCACUUCUCUGGCAAGCUGCCCCCUCUGAAGAGUUGACUAUUUGGGAGUUACUCACUGAUGGUUCAGCCACUUCCAGAACCUACCCCAAGAGCAAGACUUGAAACCAACUCGCACCCUCAAAGCUCCGGAAGCCAUUCAGUGUUUCCAUCUUGGCUGAGUGAGUUCUUCACUGAAACUCAAUUUGACUUUGACAGUCAUCUAAUGAGAACUCAAAAGUCAUUCUUGGUUCAGCCACAGUCAAAGAACUUGCAGAGCAUUCUCUGACGAGGUCCUCAAGGACAACUGAGAGAAGGGAUGUCCUCCACCUUUUCAAUCUGAUUUGCUCUUUGCCAUGCAGACCUGUGGAUGAAGAGCCAGAGUCCUCCAAGGUGAAGCUGGACUGAAUAUUUCUGUCCAUAAGACUAUUAGAAUCCCCCAAAGUGGGAUACCAGUGAGGACCUCACCAGCAGCUGCUGUCUCUCCAAUGCAGGUAGAUGAGCCUCAGAAAUAACCGCUGCUUGUGGUUUGCUGUGUAUUCCUCUAGAUGUUUUUCUUUACACAUAUUAGUGAGUGUGGAGAGAGAGUGUGUAUGUGUUCUGUAAAUUUGAUUACACUGCGCAUUUAUUCCGAAAUCCAUUUCACUUUACCGUUGGAACGUAAGCUCUGUGAGGGCAGAGACUUUUGUUUAUUGCACUUGCUGUUAGAGCUCUUGUCUGUAACAGUGGCUGGCACAUGGUCACAUCAUAGUAGAAGCUCAAUAAAUAUUUGUUGAAUGAAUGAAAAAA
Molecule: long non-coding RNA, 906 nt
Filed under: Homo sapiens (human)
Lineage: Eukaryota; Metazoa; Chordata; Mammalia; Primates; Hominidae
Description: uncharacterized LOC339260, transcript variant 11 (LOC339260)
Source: RNAcentral